This 274-nucleotide ribosomal RNA is filed under the name uncultured bacterium. RNAcentral's name for it is "partial 16S ribosomal RNA". It matches the Rfam family "Bacterial small subunit ribosomal RNA", at positions 523 to 796 of the family's 1533-position model. The record is from RNAcentral.
AUACGGAGGGUGCGAGCGUUGUUCGGAAUCACUGGGCGUAAAGGGCGCGCAGGCGGUUUGUCAAGUCAGAUGCGAAAGGCCACGGCUCAACCGUGGAGGUGCAUCUGAAACUGGCAGACUUGAGUACCGGAGGGGAAAGUGGAAUUCCCGGUGUAGAGGUGAAAUUCGUAGAUAUCGGGAGGAACACCGGAGGCGAAGGCGACUUUCUGGACGGAUACUGACGCUGAGGCGCGAAAGCGUGGGGAGCAAACAGGAUUAGAUACCCUAGUAGUCC